Molecule: long non-coding RNA, 1248 nt
Filed under: Populus tremula
Lineage: Eukaryota; Viridiplantae; Streptophyta; Magnoliopsida; Malpighiales; Salicaceae
Description: long non-coding RNA (PTRE_LNC001725)
Source: RNAcentral
CUGCUUUCUUCAUCUGAUCUUGUUCCACCUAUUAUCUCCUCCAUUUUCUCACAUCCUCUAACUGUAAUCUCUUCUAGGUUUACGAGGCUAAUCCAAGAAGAUGGAAUCAAGCUCUCCAUGUUGUCGCAAUUCCAUACUUCAAUUUGUUGGAGAGAAUCGCACAUCAGUUUUGCAUUACAAAUGCUUUUCAGUUUUGGUAACAACCUCAAUUCCAGUUUUCUUAACUUUGGGAGUUUGAAAUCGGUACUACUGCUGCUGCUUUCUUCAUCUGAUCUUGUUCCACCUAUUAUCUCCUCCAUUUUCUCACAUCCUCUAACUGAAAUCUCUUGUAGCGUUAAGAGGCAAAUCCAGGAAGGUGGAACCAAGCUCUCCAUGCUGUCGCAAUUCCAUACUUCAAUUUGUUGAAGAGAAUCGCACAUUAGUUUUGCACUACAAAUGCUUUUCAGUUCCGGUAAAUCUUUCAAUUCCAGUUUUCUUAACUUUGGAAGUUUGAAUUCAGUGGUGCUGCUGCUGCUUUCUUCAUCUGAUCUUGCUCCACCUAUUAUCUCCUCAAUUUUCUCACAUCUUCUAACUAAAAUCUCUUGUAGCUCUACGAGGCAUUUCCAAGAAGAUGGAACCAAGCUCUCCAUGCUAUCGCAAUUCCAUACUUCAAUUUGUUGGAGUGAAUCGCACAUCAAUUUUGCACUACAAAUGCUUUUCAGUUCCGGUAAAUCUUUCAAUUCUAGUUUUCUUAACUUUGGGAGUUUGAAUUCGGUACUGCUGCUGCUGCUUUCUUCAUCUGAUCUUGUUCCACCUAUUAUCUCCUUCAUUUUCUCACAUCCUCUAACUGAAAUCUCUACUAUGUUUACGAGGCAAAUCCAAGAAGAUGGAACCAAGCUCUCCAUGCUGUCGCAAUUCCAUACUUCAAUUUGUUUGAGAGAAUCGCACAUCAGUUUUGCACUACAAAUGCUUUUCAGUUUUGGUAACAACCUCAAUUCCAGUUUUCUUAACUUUGGGAGUUUGAAUUCGAUGCUGCUGCUGCUUUCUUCAUCUGAUCUUGUCCCACCUAUUAUCUCCUCCAUUUUCUCACAUCCUCUAACUGAAAUCUCUUCUAGGUUUACGAGGCAAAUCCAAGAAGAUGGAACCAAGCUCUCCAUGUUGUCGCAAUUCCAUACUUCAAUUUGUUUGAGAGAAUCACACAUCAGUUUUGCACUACAAAUGCUUUUCAGUUCUGGUAAAUCUUUCAAUUUCAGUUUUCUUAACUUUGGG